This 1154-nucleotide ribosomal RNA is filed under the name uncultured bacterium. RNAcentral's name for it is "bacterial SSU rRNA". It matches the Rfam family "Bacterial small subunit ribosomal RNA", at positions 8 to 1189 of the family's 1533-position model. The record is from RNAcentral.
AAAGUUUGAUCCUGGCUCAUGSKCAUACUGGCGGGCGGCUUAWCAYAUGCAAGUCGAACGGGAUCCGUGUUACGGAGGUCUUUGGACCGAAGUGGCAUGGUGAGAGUGGCGGACGGGCGAGUAACGCGUGAGCAACCUGCCCUAUGCUGGGGGAUAACACCGGGAAACCGGUGCUAAUACCGCAUAAGACCACAGUGACGCAUGUCACAGUGGUAAAAGCUGAGGCGGCAUAGGAUGGGCUCGCGUCCGAUUAGCUAGUUGGUAGGGUAACGGCCUACCAAGGCGACGAUCGGUAGCCGGACUGAGAGGUUGGCCGGCCGCAUUGGGACUGAGACACGGCCCAGACUCCUACGGGAGGCAGCAGUGGGGAAUAUUGCGCAAUGGGGGAAACCCUGACGCAGCGACGCCGCGUGGAGGAAGAAGGCCUUUGGGUUGUAAACUCCUUUGAUCGGGGACGAAGAUGACGGUACCCGAAGAACAAGCCACGGCUAACUACGUGCCAGCAGCCGCGGUAAUACGUAGGUGGCGAGCGUUGUCCGGAAUUACUGGGUGUAAAGGGCGUGUAGGCGGGGUGCCAAGUCAGGUGUGAAAUACCGGGGCUUAACCUCGGGGGUGCAUCUGAAACUGGUGCUCUUGAGUGCCGGAGAGGAAAGCGGAAUUCCCAGUGUAGCGGUGAAAUGCGUASAUAUUGGGAGGAACACCAGUGGCGAAGGCGGCUUUCUGGACGGUAACUGACGCUGAGGGCGCRAAAGCGCGGGGAGCAAACAGGAUUAGAUACCCUGGUAGUCCACGCUGUAAACGAUGGAUACUAGGUGUAGGAGGUAUCGACCYCCUUCUGUGCCGUAGUUAACACAUAAGUAUCCYACCUGGGGAGUAYGGCCGCAAGCUGAACUCAAAGGAAUUGACGGGGCCCGCACAGCAGUGGAGCAUGUGGUUUAWAUCUAAGCACGCGAAGAUCUUACCAGGCCUUGACAUCCSCUGACGGAUGKAGAGAUAMAUCUUCUCCGCAGGACAGGGAAACAGGKGGUUGCAUGUUGUYGUCACUCUGUCUGGCAAGKUGGUAGUUCCGAACAGGCACCUGUGCCUAUGCCAMAAAAUAUGGCACYUAAAGAGMCKUCGGCCGRAAAUUCGAGAAWGGGGUGGGGGAUAAUUCA